GCUGAGCAAAUCGCCGAGUUCGCCGUAGUCGCAAGGCCGUGAGGCGCCAGGCUACUAGUCUAGUACCACUUUCUUGGGCCCGCCCAUGCGCAGAUCUAACCAGAUUAAAGCCCAACUCGGAUGCGUAGAGCCGUAGAGGCAGGCGUCAGCUCUUUCAAGUUUCGCCACACGCGCACGGCAGGCGACUAGGCGCCAAGCAGUUGCGUUUGGCAAAGCUGGAGUUCGGGAUUUCCUCCCUGGCGGUACGGGACGGCGGCGAUGGGCUGCUGGGGUGGCUCCUCGCGGCGGCACGGGCAAUGGCGCAUCCUUCGAUUCGCUCCCGAACAGAAUUUGAGUAGCAGGUUGGUGGUGGAAGGUGGAAGCAGAGAUCGGUCGCUUGAAACACUGGGAUCAUUCGGCGCAGGUCGAAUUCAUAGGAUUCACACGACGAAGCAGAAUGGCCAACUGGCCAUUAAUUCGAUUCGUCAAGAGCUUUGAACAGUGUGUAACUGACGGCCCAAAGUGGGAGCCCGAAGAAUUGACCUAGGAAACCACAUGGCGAGCUUGAGCAGCUAUAUCAGGCAAAGAUCAAAGAUGGCUGGCAGGCGUGCUUUGCAGCUUUGGUGGUUCCAACUCCCUUUCGUGCAUGCCGUGCGUCGCUCUUGCAAACGUGGAGUACUUGACCAUAUAUGACUUUCUCGUGCAGGGAUCCUCCAGAAGAAAGAAAGGUCUUGGUGAUGGUGGCAUCUGGAAAGGAGGAGCCGCUGAGCUGCACGCCUGCACGGGCCUGACUGAAGGGAGCCAAGCUCGUCUUGCCAUGUGCGUAAUCCCCAAGUACUAUAGCUCGGAGGGAAUCGGAAGAACGCCAGAGGCGAUGGCAGACAGAUCGUCUUAAUCUGUGUUUGACCAUAUUUGACUAUGCCAACAUGAAAUUCUCCAUGUCAUGCAUAGAGUUUGUAGCUUUGUGGCUAUUUAUUUCUGUUUAGAUCACAUGAGCAGUACUUUUACUCCCUCCGUUCCAUAUUAAGUGACUCAAAUUUGUCAAAAUAAGGAUGCAUGUACGUCCAAAAAAAGUUUAGAUACAUGUAAUAUUUCGUCACUUAAAAUAUGAGACGGAGGGAGUAUUUUGUAUCUUAAUGAUGUCAUGUGUACUAAAUUUCCAAAGCCAGCCUAGUGAACAGAAACUAUCUUGCCCUAUAUAUAAAGCAGGGGUAGAAGUCAAGACUUGUGCAAGAUUA
Molecule: long non-coding RNA, 1217 nt
Organism: Brachypodium distachyon (stiff brome)
Lineage: Eukaryota; Viridiplantae; Streptophyta; Magnoliopsida; Poales; Poaceae
Exons: 4
Source: RefSeq, a predicted model, not a curated record